GAUGAACACUAGCGAUAGGCUUAACACAUGCAAGUCGAGGGGCAGCACAAGGUAGCUUGCUAUCUGGGUGGCGACCGGCGCACGGGUGCGUAACGCGUAUGCAACUUGCCCUAUACAGGAGGAUAACCCGUCGAAAGACGGACUAAUACUGCGUAUGCUCACAACUUGGCAUCAAGUGGUGAGGAAAGAAAUUCGGUAUAGGAUAGGCAUGCGUCCCAUUAGCUUGUUGGUGAGGUAACGGCUCACCAAGGCAACGAUGGGUAGGGGAACUGAGAGGUUUAUCCCCCACACUGGUACUGAGACACGGACCAGACUCCUACGGGAGGCAGCAGUGAGGAAUAUUGAUCAAUGGGCGCGAGCCUGAACCAGCCAAGUCGCGUGAAGGAUGACUGUCUUAUGGAUUGUAAACUUCUUUUAUACGGGAAUAACAAGAGUCACGUGUGACUCCCUGCAUGUACCGUAUGAAUAAGCAUCGGCUAACUCCGUG
RNAcentral lists this ribosomal RNA (487 nucleotides) under uncultured bacterium. RNAcentral describes it as "partial 16S ribosomal RNA". It matches the Rfam family "Bacterial small subunit ribosomal RNA", at positions 28 to 507 of the family's 1533-position model. The record is from RNAcentral.